Molecule: long non-coding RNA, 2045 nt
Filed under: Homo sapiens (human)
Lineage: Eukaryota; Metazoa; Chordata; Mammalia; Primates; Hominidae
Description: non-protein coding SPATA41:16
Source: RNAcentral
CUGCAAUAUCCCCACAAGGGCCUGACUGAGCGAGCGAGCAUGGACGGCCGCGGGGCUUUCUGGACAGUGGCCAUUCCCAGAGCCAGGCAGGAAGGCCUCGGGAGGCUGGGGCUCCCGUUCCCGGUGAAGCGGACGCCGCCAGCGCCCCAGAACCCAGGAGGAAGCACACAGGCCCCACAGAGAGUGGUUGGCAAGAGUCACUCGGGGAUUAGGAUGCCGGCCAAAUCGCGGAAUUUGAGGCUGGAAUCCAAGCUCAACAGGAAAGUAGUGAAAUACAAAUGGGGAAAACAGGGCUCUGGAGCGGGGAGGGAGCUGGUGCCGGCAUUUCCCACCAACGCCGGUUUAGGAAGACGGGACCGAUGCCGGCCGCCCCCUGCUGGAGGGGAUGUGGCAUCUCACGGGCUGCCAGGGAGCGGGGUUGGCUACUCCUGCAACCAGCGUGAAGAGGGUCUCAGGGGAGGCUGUGGUGGGAUCCCCCACGUGCCCUUGUUCCUCUCACCGUUACCUCUGGAUGCCUCGGGGCAAAGGCCUUCUUCCACCUAUAGACAGAGUCUACGCAGGGGUCUUGGAACCCGGGCACACCAGUCCCCAGCUAACGAAAUCCCCGAGUUGGGGGAUUUGAGAGGGUCACGUUUGGCCCAAGAACCCGCAGUCCUCUUUGGUCUUCGGCCCUCUAUUUCUAAGCGUGGGCUUCUGGCACGGCGGCUCUGGGCACAGCCCAUGCUGCUUUCGGGCUGGGUGGUUUCAACGACGACAACAAUUAUCACAGUGACGGUGACCUUCACCCCAACAGGACUGCUGUGUGUGAAGCACUCAAGAGGGCCCCUACAACCAACCUGCCAGGAGUCGGCUCCUGAAAACAGGGUCGGAAAAGGGGUCUGGCACUCUUCCUCAUGCUUACGAGAUGGCUGCUGGAAUUCCAGGAAUCACAUGCAAAUUCUAGUCAGGAGCAAAGAGGAAGAGACACAGUGAAAAGGGGUAUACAGCGGCAGAAGGAAGCUCCUCAAAUGAACUCUGCUAGAACUCUAGCCAGUAGCUUCUCCUUCUAUCACAGUGGCCAGAACUGUGACAAGUGACCAUCCUUAGGGGAAAAAAGAUGCUGAGAAAUGUGAAUUUUGUUGCCACCUUACAUUUUCAAAGGAGUUCCAUUCGUAAGUACAGAACGCUCAGAGAAGAGGCAGCAGAUCUAGGAUAUGGAGCAGCAGCUCUUAAGGGCACAGUGGGAAGGUUUCAAGACUGAGGAGGAUCUUGGAUUUGGGUAGGGGAAGGCAGUUCACAGUAUUGUGGAGGAAAUGCUGUGAAAGAGAAAGUGGAAGGCAUGGAAGCUUAAACUUUUAAUAUGACUGGUGAAUACAAGGAUGAAGGGCAAAGGGAAUUCAGACUCAUGGUGGUCAGAUUAAGACCUUCAGCGGCUCUGUCUCCCAGCCCCACAUACCCACUUCCAUGUUCUGCUCUUUACUGAAGCUGAAAGUCUGCAACCUUCAUUCUCUGACUCCCUUACAUUUUCUUAGGCUUCUUGCUAGCUUCUGCCAAAAAGAGGCCCUGGCAGGAGAUUAGAUGGCAGGAGGCAGAGGUAAGGAUUCCAUGUUAACAGGUGCUGGAAGUUGCUGGUGUGGCAAUGAGAACUGGGCCCCGGUCAAGGCAGCACUACUUUGGUAGAUCCAGAAUCAACCAUGAUAACCGUGACAGUGUCUUCAACAGUGCAGCAGUAGACACAGGCCCCUGGUGCUGGAAUCCAAUACAGGGACAGGAGCAGCACGGAGUCACGGAACACCGUCUUGCCUUCAUGUCACUUUACCAUUUCUUCUUUCUCCCUCUUACUCUACCAGCUACCUGUGGAGAUGUUGAACCUUUUAUCUGUCGCUGUCUGCUUAGGAACAGAAGAAAAGGCAGCUGAUUGCUUGACUCAGCUUUCAGCUUGAUUUUUUUCCUUUGGCAGAGUGAAUUGGGGUCCCAGGUGUUCAUUUUCCUUUUGUAGUACCUUUCCUCAGCAUGCAAUUAAUACAAAAAGAACAAUAAACCUUAACAAAGUUUGGCUUGUAUUA